UACGUAGGCAGCGAGCGUUGUUCGGAGUUACUGGGCGUAAAGGGUGUGUAGGCGGUUCUCUAAGUUUGGUGUGAAAUCUCCCGGCUCAACCGGGAGGGUGCGCCGAAAACUGGGGGACUCGAGUGCGGGUGGGGAGAGUAGAAUUCCUGGUGUAGCGGUGAAAUGCGUAGAUAUCAGGAGGAAUACCGGUGGUGUAGACGGCUCUCUGGACCGCCACUGACGCUGAGACACGAAAGCGUGGGUAGCAAACAGG
RNAcentral lists this ribosomal RNA (253 nucleotides) under uncultured bacterium. Its description in RNAcentral is "partial 16S ribosomal RNA". It matches the Rfam family "Bacterial small subunit ribosomal RNA", at positions 524 to 776 of the family's 1533-position model. The record is from RNAcentral.